Molecule: long non-coding RNA, 969 nt
Filed under: Olea europaea (common olive)
Lineage: Eukaryota; Viridiplantae; Streptophyta; Magnoliopsida; Lamiales; Oleaceae
Description: long non-coding RNA (OEUR_LNC010041)
Source: RNAcentral
GCCAAGGUCGGACUAUUGGAGACAUCAUACAAAAAUACUGUAAUAACAAAGGAAGUGCUCCGUUUUGACAAUAGCACCAUCCUAAUCGACCAAUCAGGACAAUAACUUGAGGACAUAGGAUACAGGGCUACGGCCUAGAUGUUAUCAUUACUUCAUCGUAAUUGAAUUUUUCUAACCAACUGAAUCCCUUUAGAUGGACGAUGACGCACAAUCCUGAUCAAAACAAUGUAGCUUGACAUGACUAGAAUGACAAUCUCGAGUCCCACAACCUAUAUAAAGGAAUGGAGAGACAAGUGAAAAUGGGAUUCGAACUCAAAAAUAUGCGUACUAUUACACAAAUUCUAGCAAUUUAACAUCUUUACUUUGCUUAGAUUUCAUCGUUAUAAUCACACUGUUAUUCUAUUCAAAUCUCUUUAAAAUUGAUCAAAAAUAGUCGAUUUGUAUCCGUAUCUGCAAAACAAAACCUUGGAAUUCAAGAAAUUAAACGCGAUGGUGUGGACAUGAAAAUGUCCGAGGAUUUUUCUAAGAAAAUAAAAAAUAGUUGAAUAUUACACAUUUAGAAGAGAGAAAAAUAAAUGGCACAAACUUGUAUUUUUUCUACCAGACUUGCAGAAGUCCAAUGUCCUCAACCUAGAACAUAAAAUUUCCUACUCAGAGAAAUUUCCCCCACCUACUAUUAUUUUUUUAAAAACUUUUAACUUUCAUUUAGCAAAAAUCUUAAAUAGUCUAUAAAUUGUGGCAAAAAACUUUUUGACAGAGACUCUACUGGAUAGUGUAUCCACCUGUUCAUCGCAUAUUUCUAACUAUUUAUAAAUUCUUUCCUAUGGGAUGCGAAAUUUAGUAAGAAGAGAUUGUUGUAUUCAAGAAUCUCGCCCUUAAUCAUACAUAUUAAUCGUUUUCAACUCCUCUUUGUUUAAAAUAGUAGAAACGUUUAUAAAAAGUCCAACAAACUCUCCGUGUUAAAUCUUU